AGUUUGAUCCUGGCUCAGGAUGAACGCUAGCUACAGGCUUAACACAUGCAAGUCGAGGGGCAGCAUGGUCUUAGCUUGCUAAGACUGAUGGCGACCGGCGCACGGGUGAGUAACACGUAUCCAACCUGCCGUCUACUCUUGGACAGCCUUCUGAAAGGAAGAUUAAUACAAGAUGGCAUCAUGAGUCCGCAUGUUCACAUGAUUAAAGGUAUUCCGGUAGACGAUGGGGAUGCGUUCCAUUAGAUAGUAGGCGGGGUAACGGCCCACCUAGUCUUCGAUGGAUAGGGGUUCUGAGAGGAAGGUUCCCCACAUUGGAACUGAGACACGGUCCAAACUCCUACGGGAGGCAGCAGUGAGGAAUAUUGGUCAAUGGGCGAGAGCCUGAACCAGCCAAGUAGCGUGAAGGAUGACUGCCCUAUGGGUUGUAAACUUCUUUUAUAAAGGAAUAAAGUCGGGUAUGCAUACCCGUUUGCAUGUACUUUAUGAAUAAGGAUCGGCUAACUCCGUGCCAGCAGCCGCGGUAAUACGGAGGAUCCGAGCGUUAUCCGGAUUUAUUGGGCUUAAAGGGAGCGUAGAUGGAUGUUUAAGUCAGUUGUGAAAGUUUGCGGCUCAACCGUAAAAUUGCAGUUGAUACUGGAUAUCUUGAGUGCAGUUGAGGCAGGCGGAAUUUCGUGGUGUAGCGGUGAAAUGCUUAGAUAUCACGAAGAACUCCGAUUGCGAACGCAGCCUGCUAAGCUGCAACUGACAUUGAGGCUCGAAAGUGUGGGUAUCAAACAGGAUUAGAUACCCUGGUAGUCCACACGGUAAACGAUGAAUACUCGCUGUUUGCGAUAUACUGCAAGCGGGCCAAGCGAAAGCGUUAAGUAUUCCACAUGGGGAGUACGCCGGGCAACGGUGAAACUCAAAGGAAUUGACGGGGGCCCGCACAAGCGGAGGAACAUGUGGUUUAAUUCGAUGAUACGCGAGGAACCUUACCCGGGCUUAAAUUGCAGAUGAAUUACGGUGAAAGCCGUAAGCCGCAAGGCAUCUGUGAAGGUGCUGCAUGGUUGUCGUCAGCUCGUGCCGUGAGGUGUCGGCUUAAGUGCCAUAACGAGCGCAACCCUUGUUGUCAGUUACUAACAGGUUCCGCUGAGGACUCUGACAAGACUGCCAUCGUAAGAUGUGAGGAAGGUGGGGAUGACGUCAAAUCAGCACGGCCCUUACGUCCGGGGCUACACACGUGUUACAAUGGGGGGUACAGAGGGCCGCUACCACGCGAGUGGAUGCCAAUCCCCAAAACCUCUCUCAGUUCGGACUGGAGUCUGCAACCCGACUCCACGAAGCUGGAUUCGCUAGUAAUCGCGCAUCAGCCACGGCGCGGUGAAUACGUUCCCGGGCCUUGUACACACCGCCCGUCAAGCCAUGGGAGCCGGGGGUACCUGAAGUGCGUAACCGCGAGGAGCGCCCUAGGGUAAAACUGGUGACUGGGGCUAAGUCGUAACAAGGUAAC
This 1489-nucleotide ribosomal RNA is filed under the name uncultured Bacteroides sp. RNAcentral's name for it is "bacterial SSU rRNA". It matches the Rfam family "Bacterial small subunit ribosomal RNA". Lineage: Bacteria; Pseudomonadati; Bacteroidota; Bacteroidia; Bacteroidales; Bacteroidaceae. The record is from RNAcentral.